Molecule: long non-coding RNA, 550 nt
Organism: Monodelphis domestica (gray short-tailed opossum)
Lineage: Eukaryota; Metazoa; Chordata; Mammalia; Didelphimorphia; Didelphidae
Source: RefSeq, a predicted model, not a curated record
UCGUCACCUAGAAACUGGCAAACCCACCCACCAGAACGACAGGAAUGGCCAGCAGCGGCUCAUUUCCAAGAAGACGAUUGGUCGCUGAAACUGUCUACUAACUGAUGAACUUAUGGAUGAUUGGUGAAUUCUGGAGGAGGCGGACCCUUAAAGGGCUACAGAAAAGCACACGUGGGAAGCAGGCAAUUCAAACAAGUCCUGCCUGGAAUGUACAGUCUGUUUGGGCUCCUAAUUUCCUGUCCCACAGGGCAGGGUAUGGCGUUCUGGAAGGUAUCUGGCCCAGCACCUCCACAGUACUCUGCAGACAGGGAGUACUUGAGAAAUAUUUAUUGAAUGAAUGUAAAGCACUACAGAAAUGUAAGCUAUUUACUAUUACUAGUAUUGCUCUAGAGCCAGGGCCUCCACUAGCCUUCCUUUCAACACCCACCUUUUCUCCAGAGCAUCUGGUGGCUCUUGUCUAGACAUACUAUUCUCAACAGCAUGUUGUACCAUUUGCAUUUAUUACAAAUCAUUCAACUUUCCAACCCAAUAAAGUCACAAAAACAGAAAA